Molecule: non-coding RNA, 59 nt
Organism: Apaloderma vittatum (bar-tailed trogon)
Lineage: Eukaryota; Metazoa; Chordata; Aves; Trogoniformes; Trogonidae
Source: Rfam
UAGCUCAGUCGGUUAGACCUUGGUGCUGAUAACACCAAGGUCACGGGUUCAAUCCCCGU